UACGUAGGGUGCAAGCGUUGUCCGGAAUUAUUGGGCGUAAAGAGCUCGUAGGCGGUUUGUCGCGUCUGCUGUGAAAACGCGAGGCUCAACCUCGCGCCUGCAGUGGGUACGGGCAGACUGGAGUGUGGUAGGGGAGAUUGGAAUUCCUGGUGUAGCGGUGGGAUGCGCAGAUAUCAGGAGGAACACCGAUGGCGAAGGCAGAUCUCUGGGCCGUAACUGACGCUGAGGAGCGAAAGCGUGGGGAGCGAACAGG
This 253-nucleotide ribosomal RNA is filed under the name uncultured bacterium. Its description in RNAcentral is "partial 16S ribosomal RNA". It matches the Rfam family "Bacterial small subunit ribosomal RNA", at positions 524 to 776 of the family's 1533-position model. The record is from RNAcentral.